GUAAUUUAUGGACAGCACCAGUGAGAAACUGGUGCUGUCCAUAAAGCAUUUGCACGUGAUUUGUUUUUAAAAUUUAAAAUAUUAUAAGAUGAUUUGUUUAAUUUCACGUGACAGAAGCAAACGAUAGUUGGAAAUGAACUUUGGCACGAAGCCAACAACACGUGGUUGAAACACGUGUUGAAACCACGGUUCAAAGUUAAAAAUUUCAGUUCAUAUAGGGAGAAGUUACAAUGAAAGUUGCCUCUGUGUGAUUUAAAAUAAGGUGUGAGUGUUAAUGGUUUCAUAUAACAGACAUUCGGACAAUCAAUUACUUCGUAGAUGAUGUCAACAUAUUUAACGAUGAUAGAAGGGCUUCUCCCAACUGAUACUACAUUAGAAAAGUAAAGUUUGAGUAAGAUGAAAUUGUAAACAAAGAAAAUAUACUGGAAAAGAGGAAUCCGUGAUACAAAUGGAAGCUUCCACAUCUCAAAUGGAAAUUUCUGCAAUGCAAAUGGAAACAGUCGCAAAUGAUUUAGAAACAAAUUUGAUAGAGAAUAUAUUAAAGUCUAUCCCUUGUCAAAGCUUAGAUUUAACGAAUGAAAAUCUUUCAAAACCAGUUGUCGUUAAAACUUACAAGGACAAAUAGGAAAUCAAUAUUAUAUAUUCAGUGAUGAACAGAAGAUAAAAUCCAGAAAAUAAAAGGGCAAGAUAGUCAUGAACUGAUUUUGUCUUAUAGAAGAACAAAUAAAGAAGAAAUUUAUUAACAGCUCGAUUUCGUAUAAUUAAUAAUUAAAUAAUAUUAUUCAUAAUUUUAAGUGUUUUCUUUUAAUAUUAGUGAGAAAACAAAUUGAUAGUGAAAAUGAAGGGGAAGGAAAGGAAGAAGAGAUUUCAAAGCGAGCUUUUUCAAUUACACCAUCCAAGCCAUCCACUUCUAUAAUUAAUAUUAUUAUUAUUGUAUCAGUCUUAUUUGCUGUUAUAUGCAAUAUAAUAAUUAAGAUAUUUCGAACAAGAUUAAAUAAUGAAGGUAU
Long non-coding RNA from Centruroides sculpturatus (bark scorpion), 1007 nucleotides. RefSeq lists it as uncharacterized. NCBI's taxonomy places the organism in Eukaryota, Metazoa, Arthropoda, Arachnida, Scorpiones, Buthidae. The record is from RefSeq and is a predicted model, not a curated record. The transcript is spliced from 6 exons.